Molecule: ribosomal RNA, 902 nt
Filed under: uncultured bacterium
Lineage: Bacteria
Description: bacterial SSU rRNA
Rfam family: Bacterial small subunit ribosomal RNA
Source: RNAcentral
AGAGUUUGAUCCUGGCUCAGGAUGAACGCUAGCGGCAGGCUUAACACAUGCAAGUCGAGGGGUAUAGUUCUUCGGAAUUAGAGACCGGCGCACGGGUGCGUAACGCGUAUGCAAUCUACCUUUUACAGAGGGAUAGCCCAGAGAAAUUUGGAUUAAUACCUCAUAGUAUGGCGACAUCGCAUGAUGAUGCCAUUAAAGUCACAACGGUAAAAGAUGAGCAUGCGUCCCAUUAGCUAGUUGGUAAGGUAACGGCUUACCAAGGCUACGAUGGGUAGGGGUCCUGAGAGGGAGAUCCCCCACACUGGUACUGAGACACGGACCAGACUCCUACGGGAGGCAGCAGUGAGGAAUAUUGGACAAUGGGCGCAAGCCUGAUCCAGCCAUGCCGCGUGCAGGAUGACGGUCCUAUGGAUUGUAAACUGCUUUUGUACGGGAAGAAACACUCCUUCGUGAAGGAGCUUGACGGUACCGUAAGAAUAAGGAUCGGCUAACUCCGUGCCAGCAGCCGCGGUAAUACGGAGGAUCCAAGCGUUAUCCGGAAUCAUUGGGUUUAAAGGGUCCGUAGGCGGUUUAGUAAGUCAGUGGUGAAAGCCCAUCGCCCAACGGUGGAACGGCCAUUGAUACUGCUAGACUUGGAUUAUUAGGAAGUAACUAGAAUAUGUAGUGUAGCGGUGAAAUGCUUAAAGAUUACAUGGAAUACCAAUUGCGAAGGCAGGUUACUACUAAUGGAUUGACGCUGAUGGACGAAAGCGUGGGUAGCGAACAGGAUUAGAUACCCUGGUAGUCCACGCCGUAAACGAUGGAUACUAGCUGUUGGGAGCAAUCUCAGUGGCUAAGCGAAAGUGAUAAGUAUCCCACCUGGGGAGUACGUUCGCAAGAAUGAAACUCAAAGGAAUUGACGG